UUGAAAGAGUCAUUUAUUUUGACGUUCGGCGACACAUUUUCCAAAUCGAGGAAGAGGGAAUAUUAACGUUGGUUGUGAGAUACAGGAGAAUAAGAAGAACAUACAGAAGAAGAAGAGAGAAGAAUUCCACAGCUCCACAAGCUCUUUUCGCAAUUAGCGAAAGCAUCAUAUUUGAAAUGUAUCAAGGGAGAUGUCAUCGAGCCCCUACCAACUGCAUCAAGCACCAGAUAUGCUGUUCCAAAAGGACCCAAUGACAUUUCAAGAUCCAGAGAAGAGGGUCCUGUACUGCCGUGUUUGAAAACAUUUCCCAGAACUCAGCAUGGUACUAGGAAAAAGGCUUUCAACAGCUCCUGCUAUAAGGACAAUUCAUGGCUUGAAUAUUCUGUAAGUCAAGAUUCAACUUAUUGUUUCGCCUGUAGGCAUUUUUCUCUGCCCAAUGCACCUGAAUCUGCCUUCACAUCACAGUCAGGUUGUUGUAACUGGAAAAAGGCGCU
This is a non-coding RNA of Salmo salar (Atlantic salmon), 494 nucleotides long. The record is from RefSeq and is a predicted model, not a curated record. Lineage: Eukaryota; Metazoa; Chordata; Actinopteri; Salmoniformes; Salmonidae.